This 460-nucleotide ribosomal RNA is filed under the name uncultured bacterium. RNAcentral's name for it is "partial 16S ribosomal RNA". It matches the Rfam family "Bacterial small subunit ribosomal RNA", at positions 338 to 795 of the family's 1533-position model. The record is from RNAcentral.
CCUACGGGUGGCAGCAGUGAGGAAUAUUGGUCAAUGGCCGGAAGGCUGAACCAGCCAUGCCGCGUGAAGGUCAGUGCCCUAUGGGCGUUAAACUUCUUUUGUGCGGGAGCAAUAAUGGUCACGUAUGGCCAGACGAGAGUACCGUACGAAUAAGCAUCGGCUAACUCCGUGCCAGCAGCCGCGGGAAUACGGGUGUUGCAAGCGUUAUCCGGAAUUAUUGGGUUUAAAGGGUGAGUAGGCUGUGAGGUAAGGCAGCGGUGAAAUGCCCCCGCUCAACGGGGGGAAGUGCCAUUGAUACUGGCUUGGUGGAAUGCGGAAGCGGUGGGAGGAAUGUGUGGUGUAGCGGUGAAAUGCAUAGAUAUCACACAGAACACCGAUUGCGAAGGCAUCUCACGAAUCCGCGAUUGACGCUGAUGCACGAAAGCGUGGGUAUCAAACAGGAUUAGAUACCCGGGUAGUC